RNAcentral lists this long non-coding RNA (2140 nucleotides) under Homo sapiens (human). Its description in RNAcentral is "long non-coding RNA NONHSAT250521". Lineage: Eukaryota; Metazoa; Chordata; Mammalia; Primates; Hominidae. The record is from RNAcentral.
GGCUGGGGAGUGGAUAUAACUACACUGCCUUUAAUAUUGUCUUCAAGCAAGAACAAAAAUAAUGUCUUCUUGGUGCUGUGCUGUCUACCCACUUAUCUCUUUGGUAUUGGAUCUCUCUGGUGAGAAAACGUUGUCACUCCUCUCUUUUUGUCUCUUCACUUUGCUGUGGUCAAAAUCUUGUAACAUCUAGUCUAGGAAGGAAAAAAAGACUAAUGCAUUUACCUCUUCUGGCCAAAAUUUGUAAUCUCUUUUCCAUCUAAUUUAGAAAACUGAGGCUGAAUAUUUGGUUUGAAGUCAAACAAUUCAGGAAUGGAUUUGAAGUCCUAAGUAUGAACAACGCAUUGCUUUGGGCCUUACCCAACACUUAACUUCACCUGUCUCAUCUACAAAAUAGAGAUAAUUUCUGAGUUUGUACGAUUGUUGUAAGUGCUCCAACAUGGGUCAUCUGAGGGCCACUGUUAGGAUUUUUAUCAAAUGUGUUCUGCCUGUUCUGUUACCUAUUUAAUAUCCUUAUUUAAGUCCAUUCAAGUUUUCACUUACCUAAAUUUAUUUUUGAAGGGAACAUUAUAUCAGUACUCAAAAUAGAAAAAAAGGCUAAUGAGUUUUAACUAGAUGCCAGUGAUCAAAGUGCAACCUCUGUUUCUGUGUUUAAAAGGGAGACAAGUGAAUGUUGGAGAGUUGUUAGAAAUGCCCUACCUCUUGCUUGGGGCUCUUUCAGUUAAUUGGGAGGGUCAAAAGAGAAUUUACAAAAGAGAAGCUUCCAAGCUUUAGGAGUUAUUGUGAUUUAGCUACAAGCUGCAUUCUACACUUUUGGAAACAUGGAGAGAAGGGAUAAGAAACUGCAUACAUUUUUAACUACUGUUACAGUGGAUUCAGAUUAGGUUUCUCCUUCUUUACCUUUUCUUUCAGUUUGCCCCAGAUCUAUAUCUUUGUUAAUAAAAAUAAUAAUAAAAUAGCAAUAAGAGAAACUGACAUUUAAUGAGUUUUUUUUUUCUGCUAGGCAUUGUGGUCAGUGCUUUAUAUGAACUAUUUCAUUUAAUCCUUAUGAAAUCCUUACAAGAUUAGAAUGAAAAUUACCCCCACUUUACAGCUGAGCAAACCUCAGCUAAGACAUCUGGCGACUAGCUCAAGGUAGCAGACCUGGGAAGUGUGGAUUUGAAAUGCAAACCCAGGCAGUCUUAUUCUAAAUGAGGCCCACAGUCCUAAGCAUGUGCAACUGUGGUCAUUAUGGGGAUGUAUGUAUUCCACCUUCACCUGUUAGACACUGCUAGGAGAGAGCAAUGAACAAUGUUGCUUAAGAAUUUUCCUUUCCACAUCAGCCUGGGACCCGAAGAGGAACUCUGGAAUGCCUAUUCCAGUUUGAACUCUGCCACUCAUUUGCUUUCUUGUUUUCCUUUGCUCUUGCUUCCUCUCCCUGAGCCUCAACUUCCAUCUUUAAACCAUGGAAGACUCUGGUAAAUUAUUGAUCAACAGGAAAGGCCCUCUGCACUGAUCUUUUAUAGUCUGUCUAGUAUUCAGCAACCUGGGAUUACUGAAUAACCAGCAAUAGACUGUGAGAACAAGAUGUGAGUCAAAGAAAGCAUUGGUCCUUUAUAUUCCAGGCCAUCAGAGAGGCUGCUCAUAGUAGGAGUGGCCCCUGAAAAAGGCAGUUUGCCUUCCCCAUAUUUCUUGGUCGGAACCUGGAACACUAUUUGGAUAUGCUCCCAUUGGUCUCAUUAAGCAUCAGCCUACCAUUGCAAGCUUUGUGCAGUUUCUCUGCACUUUUAUAAGAUCUCUAAGUCUCUCAUAACAGUAUAUAAAGAGGGAUUGUUGACUUCAUUUUACAGAAGAGGAAAGACUUUGUCAGGGAAAGUGAUUUGUCCAAGAACAAGAGCUGAUAUGAGGCUGAAGUCAGAGGACUGAAAACAUUCAGAUUUCUCAAUUCUAACAAAGUGCUUCCUUCUUAAGUUUAUUUUAUUUCUAAAUAUAUAAAUUAUACAUUUUUAGACUAUAUAAAUAAUAGGUUACAUAAAUGAUGUAUUUAUGCAAUCCAUUUCCACUGUAAAAAUUUGUUAUAUAUAUUAAUACAUACAAGAAAAUACCCCUUGACUCCAACUCAAUGCUACCCCCCUCCCCAGAAGUAAAUGCUUUUUUCACUUGG